AAGGCAUGGUGAGGGAACUUUCUAAGCAUCUCCUUGAAUAUAUCCUAACUCUCAUAAAUAGAUUAUCUUUCUAACUGAUUAAAACAAGUAAUAUCAUUUCUAAGUUU
Dendrobium catenatum is the source of this 107-nucleotide small nucleolar RNA. NCBI's taxonomy places the organism in Eukaryota, Viridiplantae, Streptophyta, Magnoliopsida, Asparagales, Orchidaceae. The record is from RefSeq and is a predicted model, not a curated record.